Molecule: ribosomal RNA, 241 nt
Filed under: Methylobacterium radiotolerans
Lineage: Bacteria; Pseudomonadati; Pseudomonadota; Alphaproteobacteria; Hyphomicrobiales; Methylobacteriaceae
Description: partial 16S ribosomal RNA
Rfam family: Bacterial small subunit ribosomal RNA
Source: RNAcentral
AAGUCGAGCGGGCCCUUCGGGGUCAGCGGCGGACGGGUGAGUAACGCGUGGGAACGUGCCUUCUGGUUCGGAAUAACCCUGGGAAACUAGGGCUAAUACCGGAUACGCCCUUUUGGGGAAAGGUUUACUGCCGGAAGAUCGGCCCGCGUCUGAUUAGCUAGUUGGUGGGGUAACGGCCUACCAAGGCGACGAUCAGUAGCUGGUCUGAGAGGAUGAUCAGCCACACUGGGACUGAGACACG